CGGGAUGUAGCGCAGUUGGUAGCGUGCAUCGUUCGGGACGAUGAGGUCGCUGGUUCGAGUCCAGUCAUCCCGA
RNAcentral lists this transfer RNA (73 nucleotides) under Porphyromonadaceae bacterium. RNAcentral describes it as "tRNA-Pro". It matches the Rfam family "tRNA". From Rfam's summary of the family: Transfer RNA (tRNA) molecules are approximately 80 nucleotides in length. The record is from RNAcentral. Lineage: Bacteria; Pseudomonadati; Bacteroidota; Bacteroidia; Bacteroidales; Porphyromonadaceae.